Molecule: long non-coding RNA, 678 nt
Organism: Rhineura floridana
Lineage: Eukaryota; Metazoa; Chordata; Lepidosauria; Squamata; Rhineuridae
Exons: 3
Source: RefSeq, a predicted model, not a curated record
AUAUCUGGGAAACACUGUGCUGUGGAAUUGUAUCCCUAACUGACAGAAGUCUCUUUGAUCCAACAUUUGUUGUUAUGUGCCUUCAAGUCGAUUACAACUUAUGGCGACCCUAUGAAUCAGCGACCCCCAAGAGCAUCUGUUGUGAACCACCCUAUUCAGAUCUUCAAAGACCAUGCACAAGUUGAAUCAGUGUCUGGACACAGUGGUGGGCUGGAUGAGAGCCAAUAAACUGAAGCGGGAUCCUGCUGAAACAGAUGAUGUUGCCAAGACCGAGAAUUGGGGACUUUAUCCAUUCCAGCUAGGGCGGCACUUCCUCUGAAGGAACAGCUACAAACUUAGUGAAAUUUACAUUUUCUGAUAUUACACCUUCCUUUCAUGUAUUCUGUGUUGAAAUAACAUCACCAUGAAGACAUCUGAGGCUGGCCCACAUUCUGUGUGCAACCUGCUCGCAUAUGGCCAGUGACAGGACCUUGGGGAGAAUGCCUGCAACAAAAAACUAGCAGCUAAUGACAUCAAACACCCAAGGGAAAGCAAAGGCUGAGGGGUUAUAAAAGCUGGUGAUGAAUACUUGAGGAAGACCAAGGCCAAGCUGAGCCUCUUCCCACUAUUGAAGAAGCAGUGGUUAUGUGUGUUGUGUUCUAUACUUAAAACGUUCAAUUAUUAGUCAUUUUUGUAUUG